RNA transcript from Raphanus sativus (radish), 1848 nucleotides. RefSeq lists it as uncharacterized. The record is from RefSeq and is a predicted model, not a curated record. The transcript has 5 exons. Lineage: Eukaryota; Viridiplantae; Streptophyta; Magnoliopsida; Brassicales; Brassicaceae.
UUAAGUGAAAAUUAGAGAAGCGCCGAGAAAAUAAUAACUUCCCUCUAUACUCGAAUACAAUUUCUAUAUAAUGGUGUAAAAAUUAGUCUUCACAAAAAAAUAAAAACAGAGACAAAAAAAAAUCAAUUGAACCCUAUCGUUCUCUCUUCUCCCAGCGACACAGUCCUAACCCAAUUACCUCCACGACCAUCACCAUCGUCCUCUCCUAUCUGUCUGUCAUCUCCACCUUGUCUCCGUCUAUCUCGUCUCAUCCUCGUCACCACCGUACCUAUCCCCCUAGUCUCCUCCUUUGAAAAUAAACAGAUGAUGGAGUGGUUCUUCCUUCCAAGACGUUUCGGGCUUUCGAUUUGCCCUCGUCGGAUUCAAUCCCAUCUAUUGGAACACAGAAAAUCCUAUAUCUGCUCAUAUGGGUUUUCAUUUUAAGGGUUUCUGAUAGAUUCUAUGGUAGAAAUCUCCCUUCUUUUGUGUGUGAGUGGUGGUAGUGUUGAUGUUACCGUAAUCUCAUCCUCGUCACAACAGCUCCUCUCCUCCUCGUCUCCUUUUGUGUUUGUGAUAGGCCCACGGGAAUCAAAGUACACAUUUCUUCAAGAAUCUGAUGACCAGAUUCAAGCUUCUUCUGCUAAAGAAUUCAACAAUAUCGUUCGGAUUAAACUAAGACCUAUGAAGUUAUUGUCAGGUAAGCGUUAGAUGAAUCUUGUUGUAUUUAUUGCUCCUUUGGGUUGCAUAGUCAAGAAAGACCAAACUUUAUGUCUAAUCAGGAGUUGCAGCAGCAGACAAUCUUACUAAACAGAAACUGAACUCGAAGAUACUUCAGGCUUUGUCUGUAUUCUCUUUUUGUUUUCUUGAUACCCUUUUUUGAUCACUACUUACAGUUAAUGUGUGUGAGCAGGAGGAGCAGAAACAUUGUUGACACCUCAUAUCAAGGACUACUCGAGUUUAGUAUUCUCUCAGCUUCAGGAGCUGUCUAGUGUGGUACUUCUUCACUCCAAGGAUCUAAACAUUCCUACUGGAGUUGUUACGUAUGAUUUAUAACAUUUUCAUGUCCUUGUGCGGUACUUUUGCUAGAAUGUUUAUCUGGUUAGGGUCUUGUGAUCUGUAUUUGCAGGGGCUAUAACAUUUUUAUGUCCUUGUGCGGUACUUUUCUGGAUUGUUUAUCUGAUUAGGGUCUUGUGAUGUGAAUUUGCAGGGGCUAUUUGAUAUCAUUGCUAUGUCAGGUUCUUUCUUGAAUACUGAGAGUAAUGGUACUGUGAGCAGAACGUGCAUCUUGUUGGUCCUGAUGGUUGUAUUGUGGGCUUUGUUGCUGGAAUGCUAGUUGCUAGGUCACAAGUCCAGGUCAUUGUUGGAAGCUUUGUAUCAAAGAAACUGAAACUGAGCACAAGGCGUGUUGAGAAUAACUUAAGCCAGGUUCAGCUUCACCAUCUGUAUUGGUGGGAAGAGCGUUGGUGAAGUCCAUUAGGAAGCUGGAAAAUGGUGUCCAUGUUGUGUAUGGGACAGGCGUGUAUGUGACAUGAUUAAGAGGAGAAGUCUACGCACCAGAGCUAUUAAGCUUUUGAGUCUUGAUGAAUCUGAUGAGAUGCUGAGCAGACGGUUCAAGGACCGAUAAGCUGAUAAGAUCCGCAACAAACUAAUACCGUGGCGGGGCAGGACUAUGCGGGGUGGUGCCACACUUUGCCAUCACUAACGCAGGUCCCGAUUCUUAUGAAAAGAAGAGGUAGUUCGUUGCCAUCAACAACCAAAGUAAAAAGCUUUUUGUAGAUGUCAUUAGUUUAGAUAUAUUUGUCUCAGAAACAUAAAGCUUUCAUGUUUGUACUAACACUUGUGAUAAUAUAUAAAAUCAUUUUAUGAAUA